GGAUCCCUGCGGGGUGCGUGAUGGAUCGUGUCACUUGAGCCUACUUUCGUCCUAGGGGUUCCGAGGCAGUUCCGCGGUGUGCAUGCCCUUCGCUGGGAAGCCUGAAGCGGGCCCGAGGCACCCCACCUGGUGACCCAGGUUCAACCGGUCGGUCCACACGCCCUGCGCGGGGGUUUU
Molecule: non-coding RNA, 177 nt
Filed under: Candidatus Polarisedimenticola svalbardensis
Lineage: Bacteria; Pseudomonadati; Acidobacteriota; Candidatus Polarisedimenticolia; Candidatus Polarisedimenticolales; Candidatus Polarisedimenticolaceae
Description: 6S RNA
Rfam family: 6S / SsrS RNA
About the family: E. coli 6S RNA was the first non coding RNA to be sequenced, but its function was unknown until recently. It consists of 184 nucleotides that fold into an extended hairpin structure with a large single-stranded internal bulge.
Source: RNAcentral